CAGUCAUCUUUACCUAUUUACACUAGAAUAAAGGAACUUUAAAAUUUGUUGUGUAAUCUAGUUCCCAUAUGUCAUGUAUUUGGCCAUAAUAUGUUUGUUUGUUCCCAUCGGAUCUGUGGCAUCUACUCGUACACCACUGUUUUAGUUGGUGCUCCUUUUAUCUUGGGCUACUGUGUAAAAUGUAUUCUCAUUGAUCUCAUACAAUUUGUACAUGUUGAUAUGCCACGAUGGCUGCCUGG
This 239-nucleotide long non-coding RNA is filed under the name Sorghum bicolor (sorghum). RNAcentral's name for it is "long non-coding RNA (SBIC_LNC006451)". The record is from RNAcentral. Lineage: Eukaryota; Viridiplantae; Streptophyta; Magnoliopsida; Poales; Poaceae.